CCGAAACCCUUCUUCAAAUUCAGGUUCUGACCCGAAAUGUUGCCUGUUCUGUUUCUCCGGUGAUGUUGCCGGACCCGCUGGGUUGCUCCAGCAUUUUGUGU
Long non-coding RNA from Amblyraja radiata (thorny skate), 101 nucleotides. RefSeq lists it as uncharacterized. Lineage: Eukaryota; Metazoa; Chordata; Chondrichthyes; Rajiformes; Rajidae. The transcript is spliced from 3 exons. The record is from RefSeq and is a predicted model, not a curated record.